UAAGUAGGGUGUAUGCGUUGUCCGGAUUUAUUGGGUUUAAAGGGUGCGUAGGUGUCUUUUUAAGUCAUGGGUGAAAGCCCGCAGCUCAACUGUGGAAUUGCCUGUGAUACUGAGGAGCUUGAGUGCGGUUGAGGCAGCUGGAAUUGGUGGUGUAGCGGUGAAAUGCAUAGAUACCACCAGGAACACCGAUUGCGAAGGCAGGUUGCUAAGCCGUAACUGACACUGAGGCACGAAAGCGUGGGGAGCAAACAGG
RNAcentral lists this ribosomal RNA (253 nucleotides) under uncultured bacterium. RNAcentral describes it as "partial 16S ribosomal RNA". It matches the Rfam family "Bacterial small subunit ribosomal RNA", at positions 524 to 776 of the family's 1533-position model. The record is from RNAcentral.